CCCUGCAUACAAUAUCCCCACCCAGAUGUGGCCCUUGGCCCAAAAAGUUUGCCCACCCCUGCUUUAGUCUCUUUCUCCCUAUCUUGGGGUUCAUUUCAUAGUGUCAUUGUGUUCCACUAGCUCUCUCUUUCUAGUGUAGAUGUACAUAGCUUCAGACAACUUCUCUGUAUCUUGUGUCCAAAUAGCACUUCAUUCAGUCCCCAACAGCAGGCAUCAUCCACUUUUGCAUCAACAGAUAGAAGCAUAAGGCUGCCAAAGCCUACACUGAUAUCAGCUGCACCAAGGCCUCAGGCACAGAGUAUGUCAAUAGUACUGGUGUUCAAUGCUUUGACUCAUUUGCCCUCUGGCAGCAGGGACAGAGACCUUGAAAUUCAUUUGCUCUGAACUCCCAUGAUCAAUACUGCAACACUACUUCACUGUACUAAAGUGGAUGGAAAAAAAACUCAUGAUGAGAGAAGCAAUCUCGUUAAACAGAGACAGCAGGUCUCUCAAUAUUUCCUUCUGCUCUGGAAAUGAACACAGCCACAACAGAACUGGGAUAACGGGAUGCCUUCUCUGAUUGCUUUCAGGAUCUAGGGCAGAACAUGCUGCACACUAGGUAUCAAACAGGUUCCUCUUGAUGUGGAUCAAGCUUAUUUCUUCAGCAGAGGUAAUGACUCACUUGAGUCAAUGUCAAUCAGACUGGCAAGUCCAGAGUAGCAGGGAAGUCAACACCAAACUCAGCAGCACAUCAAAACACCAAAAAUGACACAGCCUCAAUCUGUUCUGGUGACUGUGAUUCAUCAUGUCUAGCAGGGUGCCUAUAGUUUGUUCAGGGACAACUUAAGCCCUAUUCCACUGGAAUGAUGCCAAACACUUCCCAAACCUGGAAGCCCAGCUGUGACUCUUCAUUAGGUCAUUCAAGGCAACAGCUAAGGAUAUGAUUUAGUCACAGAGGUCAUGGAUUCCAUGACUUUACCAGACCUCUGUGACUCAGCUGUGCAUCCCCAACCUAUCGCCUGAGCCAAAGCCGGGGCUGUAUGCCCCCCUUGCAGCUGCGGCAGGAGCCAGGGCUAUAUGCUCCCCGCUCUCCUCAUGGCUUCAGCAGAGGCCGGAGCCGCAGCUGUGCGCCCCCAUCCAUCCUUCGCUGCUGCAGCCAGAGAUGGGCGCCCCCCACCUCCUCCCAUGGCAGCAGCGGAGGUUGGAGAUGGGGCUGUGAACCCACCCAUGGUGGUAUAGCUGGGUCUGUCAUUUUCCCCCCAUGGGGCUCUAGCUAUCAUUCCCCCUUCCACCUCCCACAGCCCUCACUCCCCUGUUAUUUUUUAGUAGGUCAGACUGGUUACAGCUCCUGUGAAUUUUUGUUUACUGCCCGCAACUUGUGACUUUACUAAAAAUAACCACAACAAAAUCUUAACCUCAGCAAUAUGCUACAAAUUCAUCCUGACUUGCUGGACUUACAGAAGAAUCAGGAUUCAGCCAGCAGGAUCUUCAAGAGCUUUCUACAGCUAAGACUGCUCAUGGUGACAUACAUGAAAAAAAAUCUAACAGCCACGCCAGUUACAGAAUCAUAGAAAUGUAGGGCUGAAAGUGAAGUUGAGAGGCCAUCAGGUUCAGCCUCGUGUGAGAGCCCUGACCUAGUAACUUUCAACUGAUCUGCCUCUCACUUCCUCCUGAACCUCAGAACAAAUGUAUAUAUUCUUGACUUAUAGCACAACACUUCCUCCUUUUUCUCCCCACCUGUCCUUCCUGAAAAAACUACAUCCCUCCAUAUCAAUAUUCGAGUCAUGAGAUUUAUCCCAAGUAUCUGCAAUGUCAACUAAGUGAUAAUUUAGGUUUUGUUCGAAUACUUCCAGUUCUUCCUGUUUAUUCCCCAUACUGUUCACAUUUGUGCAUAGACAUUUAAGAUGUUGAGACUGAUUUCACUCGUUGCUCAGGUGACACUACUGUAAUUUUCCAUGUCCCCCCAAUAUCUAGCUCCCUGUUAAGGUUGCCUCCUUCCUGCCCUUACGGUUUUUUUGUUUGUUUGUUUGUUUGAACAAGGCAGAGAAUAGUCAUGCCUAUCAGAGAGUCUCUGCAUCUGACAGCAUUCAAGAUUUCCUGAAACCCUGGAUGAUUCCACAUUCUGAAAAAGGAGGAAGAAAAGCUGUUGAUGCAAAGCCCACUGCAUCUUUUGGCAGACUAAAAUCAAGAGGUCAUAUAAGCUCCAAAAGGAGAAAGAGCACAGAGUUUUAAAUUGAGAGCAUUCAACAAUGAAACUGACCAGUACCGGAACUGGAGUAAAGAUGCCAAGCCAAUGGGAGCUAAAAAUUCAUGAAACUAUGAGGUGAUGGCCACAGACUAGUCUGACAAAGAAAAAGAAAAUCAACACAGACUACAAAAACCAGAAACAGUUACCUAUCACUAUGCAGGAAACUUCAGAAUUCUCCAUUCUCCGGCUGACAGAGUAGCAUUUUAACUGAGCACUAAUAAAAACUUCAGCUCCCAGAACGCACCCUAGUCACAAGAUGCAGAAUGAUUCUGUAUGAUGCACUCCACUAAAUACCAUACCAUUUUAGAACAGAGGAACAAGUACUAUGAAUUUCAAUUCAAAAAGUGAAUUUGAAACCAGUGUUUUGUCAAACAGAAUAAAAAUGUUUUUGUGAAAUCCUUUUUAAAAGUUAAAUGGUUAGAAUAUUCUACACUUCCAUAACAGUCAAGAAUUUUACAUACUAUUGCUGCUUUACAAACUAACAAAUUUAACUAUGA
Non-coding RNA from Chelonoidis abingdonii (Abingdon island giant tortoise), 2724 nucleotides. The record is from RefSeq and is a predicted model, not a curated record. Lineage: Eukaryota; Metazoa; Chordata; Testudines; Testudinidae.